RNAcentral lists this ribosomal RNA (241 nucleotides) under uncultured bacterium. RNAcentral's name for it is "partial small subunit ribosomal RNA". It matches the Rfam family "Bacterial small subunit ribosomal RNA", at positions 26 to 291 of the family's 1533-position model. The record is from RNAcentral.
AGAGCGAACGCUGGCGGCAGGCUUAACACAUGCAAGUCGGACGGACCAUCUUCGGGUGGUUAGUGGCGGACGGGUGAGUAACACGUGGGAACGUGCCUUUAGGUUCGGAACAACACAGGGAAACUUGUGCUAAUACCGGAUGUGCCCGAAAGGGGAAAGAUUUAUCGCCUUUAGAGCGGCCCGCGUCUGAUUAGCUAGUUGGUGGGGUAAAGGCUUACCAAGGCUACGAUCAGUAGCUGGU